This is a long non-coding RNA of Labeo rohita (rohu), 1749 nucleotides long. RefSeq lists it as uncharacterized. The record is from RefSeq and is a predicted model, not a curated record. Lineage: Eukaryota; Metazoa; Chordata; Actinopteri; Cypriniformes; Cyprinidae. The transcript has 6 exons.
CUGACGACAUUUGAGGCUUCAGAUUCGUCCCACACACCUGACAGCAUCGUUCACCUGUGGACAAAACAACAGACAUGGUCACGCCAUCUACAGAGAAAUCAAAUGCACCAGUCUGCAGGUUAAGACGAUGUGUAUUACUACUGGCUUGUUUUCUUUGGACAUCAUAUUGCUUGGAGGAAAGAAGGGUGGGCCGCCACGUGCCCCCUCACUCUGAUGGAACCAGUGAAUCACAGCAUGGAAAUGGAGAAGCGCCAAAUUGCAAUCUCCUCCUCAUCGGAAAGGGAUAAAGGUACCCUUCCAAAAGACACUUCUUGUUCUGAGUCUGCGGCCUGUUGAGGAAACACACAUUCUGAGUCUGCCGCCCGUUAAGGAAAGGACUGUAACAGAACAACAACGUUCUGAGUCUCGGUUCUGUAAGGGAUGAGACAGAAACAGAUCACCUUCGUUCUGAGUCUCCCAUCUGGUGAGACGAUAGCAGAUCAACCUCAGUUCUGAGUCUGAGUUCCGAAAGAGAAAAGACUGCAACAGAUCACCUUCCUUCUGAGUCUGAGUCCCAUAAAGGAAGGACACUAACAGAACAACCUUCGUUCUGAGUCUCCAGCCUGCAAAGGUGAGACAACAACAGAUACCAAGUCCAAGUCUCCAGCUUUUGAGGCAGCAACAGAUACGACCACGUUCUGAGCCUCUAGCCUGCGAGGAAAGAGACAAUCUAUGUUCAGAGUCUUCGUCCAGCAAGACAACAACUGAUGUAGCAUCCUGAGUCUCCAUCCUAGAGAGACAAAGCAGAUUGACCAAGUUCUGAGUCUCUAGCCCAGAGAGGCAGAAGACACACAAACAUUUGCAACAAGGUUAAGCUCCGGCGAGCAAACCUUCACUUCAGGUACUUUUGCUUGCGUGUUCCAAGCUAAGAACCUUCAGCACCUACUCCAGGGAACCAUCUGCGUGUUCCAGAUCUUAGGACCCUUGGUGCUCCAGGAGAUCGGCAUCCUACAGCGCUUCAUCUUCAAGGCUGUCGAAACGGAUUCCUGCUCCAGCACAACCAGUGGAAGAAGUCGCCGCCACCGGACUGCUCACUCAACCACAGUGAACGCUCUAUGGGCAACGAAUGGUGGGAUCCACAUAAAACAAUUCCAGCCCCCCAGACCGAAACCAGUUCCUCGAAAUAACAAUUCAUCUACAAUAUCCGCAUCUGACAUGGGAAUCAGUGAUGAGGAGUGGGAAAGACUACAGAAGGUUAUUGAGUGGCCUGGUCCAGAUCAAGAAAUCACUCAUCUGAAUCAGAGCACAAGUCCAGUCCACUCGUCUUUCGCUAUUGUGGGACUCAAAGAGAGUUACAAAGUGGGAGAAAAGAUCUCUGUUACUAUCACAGCCAGGGACUACAACAAGAACCUGAAACGAUAUGGAGGAGAUUUUUUCAAAGCAAAACUUUUCAAUUCAAAGCUAAAGGCGAGUGUGUACGGGGAGGUUGUGGAUCAUCGUAAUGGGACUUACUCUGUUGAUUUCCUUCUGCCCUGGGAAGGUCAGGCACAAGUUUUUGUACGUCUUGAGCACUCCAGUGAGGUUGUGCAGAUUCUUAAAAAAUACAGGGACUCUUCAUUCCCACGCACCCACUAUCAAGGCUACUUUGAAUCAGGACCCAGUAAAACCAGGAUCCGUGAAGUAGUAGAAUGUAAUCUUAAGUGGGGUGCAGAUGGAAGUUGGAGGAAAGGCAACUGCUGCUGUGAGUAUAAGGAUAUAAGAACAGGGACG